Molecule: ribosomal RNA, 467 nt
Filed under: uncultured bacterium
Lineage: Bacteria
Description: partial 16S ribosomal RNA
Rfam family: Bacterial small subunit ribosomal RNA
Source: RNAcentral
GAUGAACGCUGACAGAAUGCUUAACACAUGCAAGUCAACUUGAAUUUGGGUUUUUAACUUCGGUUUGGGUGGCGGACGGGUGAGUAACGCGUAAAGAACUUGCCUCACAGCUAGGGACAACAUUUGGAAACGAAUGCUAAUACCUAAUAUUAUGAUAAUAGGGCCUCCUAUAAUUAUGAAAGCUAUAAGCGCUGUGAGAGAGCUUUGCGUCCCAUUAGCUAGUUGGAGAGGUAACGGCUCACCAAGGCGAUGAUGGGUAGCCGGCCUGAGAGGGUGAUCGGCCGCAAGGGGACUGAGACACGGCCCUUACUCCUACGGGAGGCAGCAGUGGGGAAUAUGGGACAAUGGACCGAGAGUCUGAUCCAGCAAUUCUGUGUGCACGAUGAAGUUUUUCGGAAUGUAAAGUGCUUUCAGUUGGGAAGAAACAAAUGACGGUACCAACAGAAGAAGUGACGGCUAAAUACGUG